AUACGGAGGGUGCAAGCGUUGUUCGGAAUUACUGGGCGUAAAGCGUGUGUAGGCGGCUUGGUAAGUCAGAUGUGAAAGCCCUUGGCUCAACCAAGGAAGUGCAUCUGAUACUGUCAAGCUUGAGUCCUGGAGAGGGGUGUGGAAUUCCCGGUGUAGAGGUGAAAUUCGUAGAUAUCGGGAGGAACACCAGUGGCGAAGGCGACACCCUGGAUGGAGACUGACGCUGAGACACGAAAGCGUGGGGAGCAAACAGGAUUAGAAACCCGAGUAGUCC
This 274-nucleotide ribosomal RNA is filed under the name uncultured bacterium. RNAcentral describes it as "partial 16S ribosomal RNA". It matches the Rfam family "Bacterial small subunit ribosomal RNA", at positions 523 to 796 of the family's 1533-position model. The record is from RNAcentral.